UCCUGGUUUCCCAGGCAGUCCCAUCAGAGUGCCUUCUUACGAAGUAGCAACUGAUAGCAGGGGUUGCGCUCGUUAUAGGACUUAACCCAACAUCUCACGACACGAGCUGACGACAGCCAUGCAGCACCUGUUCAUAUGUUCAAGGUUACCCCUGAAAGACUCUAUCUCUAGAGCUGUCAUAUGUAUGUCAAACCUAGGUAAGGUUCCUCGCGUAGUGUCGAAUUAAACCACAUGUUCCACCGCUUGUGCGGACCCCCGUCAAUUCCUUUGAGUUUUAAUCUUGCGACCGUAGUCCCCAGGCGGAUCACUUAACGCGUUAGCUGCGACACUAAUUCUGCAGAGCAGAACUAACGUCUAGUGAUCAUCGUUUACAGCGUGGACUAC
Molecule: unclassified non-coding RNA, 384 nt
Filed under: uncultured bacterium
Lineage: Bacteria
Description: contains 16S-23S intergenic spacer region
Source: RNAcentral